This 439-nucleotide ribosomal RNA is filed under the name uncultured bacterium. RNAcentral describes it as "partial 16S ribosomal RNA". It matches the Rfam family "Bacterial small subunit ribosomal RNA", at positions 339 to 795 of the family's 1533-position model. The record is from RNAcentral.
CUACGGGACGCUGCAGUGGGGAAUAUUGCACAAUGGAGGAAACUCUGAUGCAGCAACGCCGCGUGGAGGAUGACACUUUUCGGAGCGUAAACUCCUUUUAUAUAGGAAGAAGAUGACGGUACUAUAUGAAUAAGCGCCGGCUAACUCCGUGCCAGCAGCCGCGGUAAUACGGAGGGCGCAAGCGUUACUCGGAAUCACUGGGCGUAAAGAGCGUGUAGGCGGAUUAAAAAGUCAGAAGUGAAAUCCUAUAGCUUAACUAUAGAACUGCUUCUGAAACUCUUAAUCUAGAAUAUGGGAGAGGUAGAUGGAAUUGCUGGUGUAGGGGUAAAAUCCGUAGAGAUCAGAAGGAAUACCGAUUGCGAAGGCGAUCUACUAGAACAUUAUUGACGCUGAGACGCGAAAGCGUGGGGAGCAAACAGGAUUAGAUACCCGAGUAGUC